UGACGAGUGGCGGACGGGUGAGUAAUGUCUGGGAAACUGCCUGAUGGAGGGGGAUAACUACUGGAAACGGUGGCUAAUACCGCAUAACGUCGCAAGACCAAAGAGGGGGACCUUCGGGCCUCUUGCCAUCAGAUGUGCCCAGAUGGGAUUAGCUUGUUGGUGAGGUAACGGCUCACCAAGGCGACGAUCCCUAGCUGGUCUGAGAGGAUGACCAGCCACACUGGAACUGAGACACGGUCCAGACUCCUACGGGAGGCAGCAGUGGGGAAUAUUGCACAAUGGGCGCAAGCCUGAUGCAGCCAUGCCGCGUGUAUGAAGAAGGCCUUCGGGUUGUAAAGUACUUUCAGCGGGGAGGAAGGUGUUGCGGUUAAUAACCGCAGCAAUUGACGUUACCCGCAGAAGAAGCACCGGCUAACUCCGUGCCAGCAGCCGCGGUAAUACGGAGGGUGCAAGCGUUAAUCGGAAUUACUGGGCGUAAAGCGCACGCAGGCGGUCUGUCAAGUCGGAUGUGAAAUCCCCGGGCUCAACCUGGGAACUGCAUUCGAAACUGGCAGGCUUGAGUCUUGUAGAGGGGGGUAGAAUUCCAGG
RNAcentral lists this ribosomal RNA (588 nucleotides) under Salmonella enterica subsp. enterica serovar Oranienburg. Its description in RNAcentral is "bacterial SSU rRNA". It matches the Rfam family "Bacterial small subunit ribosomal RNA", at positions 89 to 673 of the family's 1533-position model. Lineage: Bacteria; Pseudomonadati; Pseudomonadota; Gammaproteobacteria; Enterobacterales; Enterobacteriaceae. The record is from RNAcentral.